AUGUCUUCCGGUGGGAUCGCGCGCGGCCGCCUCGCCGAGGAGCGCAAGGCCUGGCGGAAGAACCACCCCCACGGCUUCGUCGCCAAGCCGGAGACGCUGGGCGACGGCACGGUCAACCUCAUGGUCUGGCACUGCACCAUCCCCGGCAAGCAAGGGACUGAUUGGGAAGGCGGAUACUUCCCUCUCACCCUUCAUUUCAGUGAGGAUUACCCCAGCAAGCCUCCCAAGUGCAAGUUCCCUACGAAUUUCUUCCACCCGAAUGUCUACCCUUCAGGGACAGUCUGCCUUUCAAUCCUCAAUGAGGAUAGCGGCUGGAGACCUGCUAUUACUGUGAAGCAAAUCCUUGUUGGAAUUCAGGACUUGCUUGAUCAGCCCAACCCGGCUGACCCUGCUCAGACUGAUGGUUAUCACCUUUUCAUCCAGGAUCCAGCUGAGUACAAGAGGCGUGUUCGGGCGCAGGCAAAGCAGUAUCCCGCAUUGGUCUGA
This 486-nucleotide ribosomal RNA is filed under the name Triticum aestivum (bread wheat). RNAcentral describes it as "partial small subunit ribosomal RNA". The record is from RNAcentral. Lineage: Eukaryota; Viridiplantae; Streptophyta; Magnoliopsida; Poales; Poaceae.